Long non-coding RNA from Cryptotermes secundus, 510 nucleotides. RefSeq lists it as uncharacterized. NCBI's taxonomy places the organism in Eukaryota, Metazoa, Arthropoda, Insecta, Blattodea, Kalotermitidae. The transcript has 4 exons. The record is from RefSeq and is a predicted model, not a curated record.
GGGGAAAAUGCAUGAAUUGCAACGUCGACUCUGCAUUCAGUUAGAUAACGCAGGAAAACAUCACUGGAAACGAGAGUCCCAAAAUUCAUGACUUACCUCUUCCACGGUCAGGCAAAGAGACUAAGCCUACGUACGGGAAGCGGAUACACGUAACUACUUCCUCUAUGGCGCUCUAUGGACGAAGGCAGAUACUACACACAGAUCUCCACCAAUCAGAGAGCUUACACAAACCAAUUUGAAUACCCACAAUUAUAAGCGGAUAUCGUGUGUUGUCAUGUGCAAAUUGUAUAAACAUGAAAACAAAAACUUGUGCAGCUGUUUGGUGUUGUCAUCCAGCAAGCAAGGCAUAAGAUUCUUCAGUUUUCCAAGGGAUCCAGCACGGAGGAUGCUGCAGUGAAUAUCUGGCGACAGCUGCAUUUGUUGAAGAGGUUGAUGACCUCUUUGAUGAAGAAAGCAGUCUUCUGGGAUUUGGCACCGUGUAUAUGUGGUGUUAACCGACGUUUCGGAGGA